Small nuclear RNA from Trichoplusia ni (cabbage looper), 106 nucleotides. Lineage: Eukaryota; Metazoa; Arthropoda; Insecta; Lepidoptera; Noctuidae. The record is from RefSeq and is a predicted model, not a curated record.
GGACUUCCUUCAGGAGUACAGAUACUAAAAUUGGAACGAUGCAGAGAAGAUGUCAUGGCUCCUGUGAAAAGAUGACACGCAAAAUCUUGAAGAGUUCCACAUUUUU